RNAcentral lists this long non-coding RNA (1971 nucleotides) under Homo sapiens (human). Its description in RNAcentral is "HSALNT0318006". Lineage: Eukaryota; Metazoa; Chordata; Mammalia; Primates; Hominidae. The record is from RNAcentral.
CAGUCACUGGCUAUGGGGCCACCUGGGAGGGGUGUGUGAAUUCCCAGGCACUUGCAUCUCUGCAGGAGUGCAAGGGCGGGCCCCUGAAGUAGGUUUAAGUGAUCGCUCUUGGAGGUGAAGCAUAACGAAGCUGGGGGAGCAACAAGAAAUACCUUCAUCUUUUUAGAGAAGAGUGAAAUUGAAGCCAGAGAGGUUGGUUAACUUGCCCAAGAUCACAAAGCUUCCAAGAUGAAGAGCUGGGAUUUCAUUUCAGGUUUCCCAUCUGGCAACAUCCAAGCCCUUUCCAUAAUUCCACACUGUGAAUUUGCUUCCCAAACCAAGAGUGGGAUACAAUUAGCUGGGGAGUGCAACUCAUCCCUCAAUCACUGAUCUGAGUAUGGAUAUCAAAAGAAACAUUUCCUGAAGCAAGACGCUGAGCUGGAAGCUUCCACGGUUGUGCCUAUACUGUGGCAGUCCUGCGCGAACCUGUCCGGCCCCAUGGAAACCUGCAGGGCUGAGGUCUCCCAGGGCAAAUGGGGCUGCAGGAUGCUCACUACACCCCCAGAAACAGGAGAAGGGACAAGGACACAGGACUGUCUGUGAGCAACACUGACUUUCGGCACAGGAGAGAUCCUUUGCCCCUCCUCACUCCAGAAUAUUGCUAAGAACAUAAUUGAUCUCUCUCCUUCUCAUUCACUCACAUCUCCCAAAACAAAGGAAGAGAGACCCAUUCAACUGAUCAGAGCCUGACUUUCCAUUGCUGAGCCAUGUUUUACUACUGAGUGGGGCAACUGCUUUAAAAAUCCAUUUGUUGCUGCAUUUUCUUGCCAGCUAUUUCUUCAUUUACAGGGUUCUGAGAGGCCUGGCCUCUGCUUCCUCCGCCCAUCCAAUAAGUACCACCUGUCUGUUGAGGGGCUCAGUGGCUUCAAGGUUUCAACCCUGGCUACAUCAUGGAACCAUCUGGGGAGCUUUCCAAGUACUGAUGCCUGAACCUUAGUCACAGAUUAAUGGAAACCUGAGGAAUGGGGACCCAUGACCUGGAGUCUGUAAGGCUUCCCCAUUGAUGUGAUGCUUGGUGAAAUCUGUUUGGGUGAGUACAUUCAGUGGCCACUUGCCAUGACUUUUCCUGUCUCUAUAGCUACAUCUGGGUCCCUGGAUCCCUGCAACUAGAUUUAAGCUGGAGGAAGAAGUUUCCAUUUUGGCCUUGAGCCUAAGCCUAGUUUUUCAAACCUGCUUUUGGCAGAACAGUGCAAUGAGGCAUGAGAGUUUUGCCAAUAUACUAAUAAAGCCGUGCUCUCCCUCCCAUCUGCCGCACGAUCCCUGUGGGCCUGCUCUACUGUCCUGGACCUGGAGGAGAAGGGGAGCAUGUGGGAGCAACUGGGAGCCACGACUCCCUGGCAAACAACAUUGGGGACUUUCAACACCAUUUUAAAAAUAGAGUCACUUAUUUCAGUAUAUCUCGGCCAGUUCAGCAAAUGACUUUAGGUGGCUUACACUGUAAAUAUAGAAAACAAAAUGAGGAUAAAAAUAAGAAUAGAGAUUUUGGACCAAGGAAUUAUAAUGUCAAGUAGAGAGCAAGGCAAUUAAAAAAAAAAAAAAAGAGCAGAAGAGUGCAGAUCAAAAACAAAGCAGGCAGUGUAUAUACUGAGAUACUUCAACCUGUUAAGAGUAAUUGGGCAUUGCUUGAUUCAAUAACACACAUUUUGAGUGUAAGAACUAGACGUUAUUCCCAUUUGACAGAUGAUGAAACUGAGACUUAACAGAUUGUCUGAGGCCUGGCAGCUAGUGACCCCAGAGUCACAUUCAGGCUGCCUGUGGUGGGGCCUUUGUUCCUACAGCACCUCAUGACCUCGCUAAAGUGGUUUAGCCCUGAGCUUCCAUUCAACCAGAGGGAAGAAGACUGACACAGCCAGACACAAACAUAUUCAUUAUCAGAAAGUAUGAAGCAUUCUAGUUCCCCAGGAAAAGCAGUAUUUCCCUCAAUCACUCAAU